RNAcentral lists this ribosomal RNA (1457 nucleotides) under uncultured organism. Its description in RNAcentral is "16S ribosomal RNA". It matches the Rfam family "Bacterial small subunit ribosomal RNA". The record is from RNAcentral.
UGGCGGCGUGCCUAAUACAUGCAAGUCGAGCUUACAGACGAGGAGCUUGCUCCUUUGACGUUAGCGGCGGACGGGUGAGUAACACGUGGAUAACCUACCUAUAAGACUGGGAUAACUUCGGGAAACCGGAGCUAAUACCGGAUAACAUGUUGAACCGCAUGGUUCAACAGUGAAAGACGGUCUUGCUGUCACUUAUAGAUGGAUCCGCGCCGCAUUAGCUAGUUGGUAAGGUAACGGCUUACCAAGGCAACGAUGCGUAGCCGACCUGAGAGGGUGAUCGGCCACACUGGAACUGAGACACGGUCCAGACUCCUACGGGAGGCAGCAGUAGGGAAUCUUCCGCAAUGGGCGAAAGCCUGACGGAGCAACGCCGCGUGAGUGAAGAAGGUCUUCGGAUCGUAAAACUCUGUUAUUAGGGAAGAACAAAUGUGUAAGUAACUAUGCACGUCUUGACGGUACCUAAUCAGAAAGCCACGGCUAACUACGUGCCAGCAGCCGCGGUAAUACGUAGGUGGCAAGCGUUAUCCGGAAUUAUUGGGCGUAAAGCGCGCGUAGGCGGUUUUUUAAGUCUGAUGUGAAAGCCCACGGCUCAACCGUGGAGGGUCAUUGGAAACUGGAAAACUUGAGUGCAGAAGAGGAAAGUGGAAUUCCAUGUGUAGCGGUGAAAUGCGCAGAGAUAUGGAGGAACACCAGUGGCGAAGGCGACUUUCUGGUCUGUAACUGACGCUGAUGUGCGAAAGCGUGGGGAUCAAACAGGAUUAGAUACCCUGGUAGUCCACGCCGUAAACGAUGAGUGCUAAGUGUUAGGGGGUUUCCGCCCCUUAGUGCUGCAGCUAACGCAUUAAGCACUCCGCCUGGGGAGUACGACCGCAAGGUUGAAACUCAAAGGAAUUGACGGGGACCCGCACAAGCGGUGGAGCAUGUGGUUUAAUUCGAAGCAACGCGAAGAACCUUACCAAAUCUUGACAUCCUCUGACCCCUCUAGAGAUAGAGUUUUCCCCUUCGGGGGACAGAGUGACAGGUGGUGCAUGGUUGUCGUCAGCUCGUGUCGUGAGAUGUUGGGUUAAGUCCCGCAACGAGCGCAACCCUUAAGCUUAGUUGCCAUCAUUAAGUUGGGCACUCUAAGUUGACUGCCGGUGACAAACCGGAGGAAGGUGGGGAUGACGUCAAAUCAUCAUGCCCCUUAUGAUUUGGGCUACACACGUGCUACAAUGGACAAUACAAAGGGUAGCGAAACCGCGAGGUCAAGCAAAUCCCAUAAAGUUGUUCUCAGUUCGGAUUGUAGUCUGCAACUCGACUACAUGAAGCUGGAAUCGCUAGUAAUCGUGGAUCAGCAUGCUACGGUGAAUACGUUCCCGGGUCUUGUACACACCGCCCGUCACACCACGAGAGUUUGUAACACCCGAAGCCGGUGGAGUAACCUUUUGGAGCUAGCCGUCGAAGGUGGGACAAAUGAU